RNAcentral lists this unclassified non-coding RNA (293 nucleotides) under uncultured fungus. Its description in RNAcentral is "sequence contains ITS1". The record is from RNAcentral. Lineage: Eukaryota; Fungi.
CGGACUACUGGGGUUUCUAAUCCUGUUUGCUCCCCACGCUUUCGCGCCUCAGCGUCAGUAAUGGCCCAGUGUGUCGCCUUCGCCACUGGUGUUCUUCCGAAUAUCUACGAAUUUCACCUCUACACUCGGAGUUCCACACACCUCUGCCAUACUCAAGGUCGCCAGUAUCAAAGGCAAUUCCAGGGUUGAGCCCUGGGCUUUCACCUCUGACUUAACGACCCGCCUACGCGCCCUUUACGCCCAGUAAUUCCGAGCAACGCUAGCCCCCUUCGUAUUACCGCGGCUGCUGACAC